RNAcentral lists this ribosomal RNA (253 nucleotides) under uncultured bacterium. RNAcentral describes it as "partial 16S ribosomal RNA". It matches the Rfam family "Bacterial small subunit ribosomal RNA", at positions 524 to 776 of the family's 1533-position model. The record is from RNAcentral.
UACGUAGGGGGCAAGCGUUGUCCGGAUUUAUUGGGCGUAAAGAGCGUGUAGGCGGCCAGACAGGUCCGUUGUGAAAACUCGAGGCUCAACCUCGAGACGUCGAUGGAAACCGUCGGGCUAGAGUCCGGAAGAGGAAACUGGAAUUUACGGUGUAGCAGUGAAAUGCGUAGAGAUCGUAAGGAAGACCAGUGGCGAAGGCGAGUUUCUGGACAGAUACUGACGCUGAGGCACGAAGGCCAGGGGAGCAAACGGG